This 484-nucleotide ribosomal RNA is filed under the name uncultured bacterium. Its description in RNAcentral is "partial 16S ribosomal RNA". It matches the Rfam family "Bacterial small subunit ribosomal RNA", at positions 28 to 523 of the family's 1533-position model. The record is from RNAcentral.
GAUGAACGCUGGCGGCGUGCUUAACACAUGCAAGUCGAACGGUGAAGCAGGAGCUUGCUCUUGUGGAUCAGUGGCGAACGGGUGAGUAACACGUGAGCAACCUGCCCCUGACUCUGGGAUAAGCGCUGGAAACGGCGUCUAAUACUGGAUAUGUGAUGUGACCGCAUGGUCUGCAUCUGGAAAGAAUUUCGGUUGGGGAUGGGCUCGCGGCCUAUCAGCUUGUUGGUGAGGUAAUGGCUCACCAAGGCGUCGACGGGUAGCCGGCCUGAGAGGGUGACCGGGCACACUGGGCCUGAGACACGGCCCAGACUCCUACGGGAGGCAGCAGUGGGGAAUAUUGCACAAUGGGCGGAAGCCUGAUGCAGCAACGCCGCGUGAGGGAUGACGGCCUUCGGGUUGUAAACCUCUUUUAGCAGGGAAGAAGCGAAAGUGACGGUACCUGCAGAAAAAGCACCGGCUAACUACGUGCCAGCAGCCGCAGUAA